UACGUAGGAAUCUGCCUGGCAAUGGGGGACAACUUGGGGAAACUCAAGCUAAUACCGCAUACGCCCUACGGGGGAAAGCGGGGGAUCUUCGGACCUCGCGUUGUUAGAUGAGCCUACGUCCGAUUAGCUAGUUGGUAGGGUAAAGGCCUACCAAGGCGACGAUCGGUAGCUGGUCUGAGAGGACGACCAGCCACACUGGGACUGAGACACGGCCCAGACUCCUACGGGAGGCAGCAGUGGGGAAUAUUGGACAAUGGGGGAAACCCUGAUCCAGCAAUGCCGCGUGUGUGAAGAAGGCCUGCGGGUUGUAAAGCACUUUCGGUGGGGAGGAAAAGCUGAGAGCUAAUACCUUUCAGUGUUGACGUUACCCAAAGAAGAAGCACCGGCUAACUCUGUG
RNAcentral lists this ribosomal RNA (397 nucleotides) under uncultured Gammaproteobacteria bacterium. RNAcentral's name for it is "bacterial SSU rRNA". It matches the Rfam family "Bacterial small subunit ribosomal RNA", at positions 114 to 507 of the family's 1533-position model. The record is from RNAcentral. Lineage: Bacteria; Pseudomonadati; Pseudomonadota; Gammaproteobacteria.